RNAcentral lists this ribosomal RNA (206 nucleotides) under uncultured bacterium. RNAcentral's name for it is "partial 16S ribosomal RNA". It matches the Rfam family "Bacterial small subunit ribosomal RNA", at positions 568 to 774 of the family's 1533-position model. The record is from RNAcentral.
CGCGUAGGCGGCCUUCUAAGUCGGACGUGAAAUCCCUCGGCUUAACCGAGGAACUGCGUCCGAUACUGAAAGGCUUGAAUCCGGGAGAGGGAUGUGGAAUUCCAGGUGUAGCGGUGAAAUGCGUAGAUAUCUGGAGGAACACCGGUGGCGAAGGCGGCAUCCUGGACCGGCAUUGACGCUGAGGCGCGAAAGCUAGGGAGCAAACG